CAGAGCAACAAAAAUAUAAUUGUACAUUUAAAGGUACACAAAAGAUAUUUAGGGUGCAAUUUUGUACCCAAAAUGAGUAAUACAUUUUAUCCAUCAUGAUAUUGAUUGGACAUGAAUAACAAAUCUUUAAAAUGCAAAACAAAUGAAUACAUUAAAUAAAGCAAAUAAAAUGAAAUAGAAUAAAUGUUGAAUGUUAUAGUAAAUAUCUUGUAUUAACUGAAACUAAGAUUAAGUUUAAUGCUAAAAUCUCAAUCAAGACGAAGUAAAAUAAACUGUGGAGAGGUCACGAGGUCUGAGAGUGAAGCAGAAAGCCCAAGAGAGAGUUGAGCAGAUAUUAUAUUAUAAUUUAUAGCCCAAAACAUGCAUGUCAUAUUCCCUUAAACAGAUCAGAUGUUUUGUCUGGAUUCCCCUGAUGUUAGUAAUUAUCUCUUAUCACAAAAUAGUGAUUAAAAAUGUCUGUUUGUUUCUUCAAGGUGCAACAAUAGACCUUACACAUAUAGCAGAACUGUAAUGACCCUGUGGUGUUUUGUGUGUGUAACAUUGUAGUUUUCUAUCUGUGUUUGUGUGUUGUGAGAUACUUCCUGAUUGGCUGCUAUUCAAGUAUAGAAAAUGAUCUGCAAGUAUGUGCAGAAUUAGCAGCAAUAAUAAAAGGCAUUUUGAUGUG
Xyrauchen texanus (razorback sucker) is the source of this 664-nucleotide long non-coding RNA. RefSeq lists it as uncharacterized. Lineage: Eukaryota; Metazoa; Chordata; Actinopteri; Cypriniformes; Catostomidae. The record is from RefSeq and is a predicted model, not a curated record. The transcript is spliced from 2 exons.